Molecule: long non-coding RNA, 247 nt
Organism: Bolinopsis microptera
Lineage: Eukaryota; Metazoa; Ctenophora; Tentaculata; Lobata; Bolinopsidae
Exons: 3
Source: RefSeq, a predicted model, not a curated record
GUUUGUUAAAAGACUUCAAUCCGCUCACAGCCAUGCAGAUUAAGACGAAUUUAGAUCGACAUUAUUUUGAUAACAAUGAAAACUCAAAUGCUUGAAACGAAAUGAGUGGAGUUGAACGACGCCUGUUUAUCGAAACUACAUCAAUCAACUUUUCAACUAUGCAGGUGAUCGAUCUGGAGAGAUGAAAACAGUCUUAUGAUCUUCACACAGUCUCAGCUUUUUGGCAUUUACUAAUAUCUGAUGAACG